Molecule: ribosomal RNA, 253 nt
Filed under: uncultured bacterium
Lineage: Bacteria
Description: partial 16S ribosomal RNA
Rfam family: Bacterial small subunit ribosomal RNA
Source: RNAcentral
UACAGAGGUCUCAAGCGUUGUUCGGAUUGACUGGGCGUAAAGGGCGUGUAGGCGGUUGGUCAAGUCCGAUGUGAAAGCCCGGGGCUCAGCUUCGGAAGUGCAUCGGAAACUAGCCAGCUGGAGCGCGAUAGAGGAGGGCGGAAUUCCUGGUGUAGCGGUGAAAUGCGUAGAUAUCAGGAGGAACACCGGCGGCGAAGGCGGCCCUCUGGAUCGUUGCUAACGCUGAGACGCGAAAGCGUGGGGAGCAAACAGG